Molecule: ribosomal RNA, 228 nt
Filed under: Photobacterium jeanii
Lineage: Bacteria; Pseudomonadati; Pseudomonadota; Gammaproteobacteria; Vibrionales; Vibrionaceae
Description: partial 16S ribosomal RNA
Rfam family: Bacterial small subunit ribosomal RNA
Source: RNAcentral
UUAAUUGAAGAGUUUGAUCAUGGCUCAGAUUGAACGCUGGCGGCAGGCCUAACACAUGCAAGUCGAGCGGCAGCGACAUGAUAGAAGCUUCGGUGGACAUCAUGGGCGGCGAGCGGCGGACGGGUGAGUAAUGCCUGGGAAUAUGCCCUGAUGUGGGGGAUAACCAUUGGAAACGAUGGCUAAUACCGCAUAAUCUCUUCGGAGCAAAGAGGGGGACCUUCGGGCCUC